AUGAUCGACGGUAUGCCUCGGAUUUAUUCUAACAGAAACACAGAGCACGAACAGGACGAGAGAGAAGGUAAGAUGGCAGGGAUGAACCUGCACAACAUCGCCUCUGCACUUGUUCGUUUCAUCCGACGAGAAAUCCAUCGAUCUGAGAGACGACAAAGGGCUGGAGUUUAUCACCCUUGGGGCCCAGGAAAUGGCCGCCAUGGUCGUCGUGGCCGCCGUGGUCGUGGUAGUGGUCAGGAUUACCCUGGCCCUGCCGCGGCAGAUCAGGCAGGACCAGGCAACCCGCCCGCGGCCGUCCACCAUGCCUACCAGGCACCUCUGAUGCCGGCCUUCGUCGCUCCGUCAAUGGACUGGGCUCCCGCCGUGGCUGCAGCCCCAUUCCUGGGCGAGGAGGAGUUCUUCGACGCCGCUCAGGCCCCGCCACCGUCAGGGAUCUUCUUCGGCAACGGCAUGGAUGCAGGCGUGGCCUUCUGUCCGGUGCACGGAGACGGACCUUGCCCUGCCCGCGAUUUCUGCCCCGUGCACGGGUACGGGCCGUGCCCUCCACCGCCGGCCACUCCACCACCGGAACCGGAGGUCAUCGACGAGCCACUCGCCUACCCGGACCUCCCAACGCCGACGCCCGCUGACGAAGACGAGGAGCACUUCGCCCCUCCAGGCUAUGGCCCUGUGCCCGACAUGAUGGAGUGGGAGGUGACGCCGAACGAAGAGGAGGAGCAGUGGCUCAACUCCGUUGUGAAGCAGGAGCCAACCACGCCGGCGGAGACCGACGAACCCGGCGCCACCAUCCCCGACCUCAACACUGCCACCGGCCUGAAGAUCGAGGACGCGGUGUCGUCUUCCACGGCCCAAGCAUCUCCACCGCCUCCACCCCCGGCAAGCCCGCGAACGCCUCCACCGGCGACUCGCCGGAUCCUUCUCCGUUUCGCGGCGGCGCUGGAGCAGCACCGUCCCGGCCUCCGCUCCGGCUCCUGGGCCCCUGCAGGCCUCCACCUCCCCGGCUAUGCUGCGGGGGGGCCGUCCUCCUCCUGA
This 1032-nucleotide ribosomal RNA is filed under the name Triticum aestivum (bread wheat). RNAcentral's name for it is "partial small subunit ribosomal RNA". Lineage: Eukaryota; Viridiplantae; Streptophyta; Magnoliopsida; Poales; Poaceae. The record is from RNAcentral.